CCCGCGCAUUUAAUGAUUCCACAUUUAGAAUAAUCGAACGUUCAUUAAUAGAAAAGAGCCUUCAAACAAAGAUUAUUUCUGAUACAAAGAUAACCCUAGUUGAUUAUAACAUUUUUUUGACUUAAAUCUAAUCCAAAAUCAUAUUGGAUCAACAUAGACCCAUUAUAAGAUUUUUCCUCAAGUCAGAGAUAUGAUGUACGUGAUGUAAGGUUAAUAUAACAAUUCAGGAUCUCAUCAAAAAAGAAUAGUCAUAAAGUAUUAUUUAGGUUCUUUGACUCCGUAAAUUAUCCAAAAUCUUCUCAAUG
RNAcentral lists this long non-coding RNA (305 nucleotides) under Elaeis guineensis (African oil palm). RNAcentral describes it as "long non-coding RNA (EGUI_LNC022497)". The record is from RNAcentral. Lineage: Eukaryota; Viridiplantae; Streptophyta; Magnoliopsida; Arecales; Arecaceae.